RNAcentral lists this long non-coding RNA (881 nucleotides) under Marmota monax (woodchuck). Lineage: Eukaryota; Metazoa; Chordata; Mammalia; Rodentia; Sciuridae. The record is from RNAcentral.
AGGACAUAGAAAAUAGUGCUGGGUAUAGAUUGAAUUCUACUGAUCAUUAGUCAAGAAACAGGUGACAGAGCGUGAACCAUGUUGCCAGGCAGUAUAAAGGAUACCAUGGUAGAAAAAGGUAUAGUAGCUGCUCUGAAGCUGAUAAAAAAGCUUUAUUGGUAAAGCUAAUGGCGUGUUAGAAAAAAAUGGUGAAGCUAAUGGUGUGUUAGAAAAAAAUGUGUGUGCAUAUAUGUAUAUAUUAAGUGUGUGUGUGUGUGUGUGUGUGUGUAUUUGUAACAGCAUACAAGUGGUAUGACACAGCUUUUAAAAAGACAGUAAGGUUUUCCAGAACAAAGGAAAGCCAAUUAGAAGAGAGAAAACUUUGGAACUGUUUUCAAGAGUAUAUAGAAUUCAAAAAGGCAAAACAGGGCCAUUUCCAAAAGUAAAGAGGUAAUAUUUAAAACACAAAGCAUCUUUUACACAGGAGGACUCUGUUAGGUCCCUUGAAGUAUUUGCCCAUAAGAAAUGUAAAAUUCUCAGGGGUGGGGGAUAUGAAUUUAAAUCCAGUUACUUCUCUGCCUGUUUCAUCCCCUAUAAAAUUAGCUAAGUUAUACUUCUGUCAUAGAAUUGCUGUGAAAAUGCAGUAAAGGACUCUUACAAAUACAACUAACAGAAAUGUAAGGGAAAAUGAUCUCAUUUAUUUUAAAAAUAUAAGUGUUGGGGGAUUAUAGAAUAAGGAGUAAGGAACAAUUUAACUGAGGAUGGGAGAAAAUUUAAAGAGCAGCUAAUCUUGUGACUGAAACUUGAAGGAAGAGUUUAGAUUUAUAUUUUUGAGGUAAGUGCCGUAGUUUGGCUGGGCACAAUCAGGAGCCACUUGUCAAAAGAAACUAACUUUAUUUUUA